CAGAGAACUUGCCCCUCUAGGGUAGAUCUCCCACCCUUUGUUUACCAUACCUAUGUUGCUUUGGCAGGCCGCCCUUUGGGCGACCGGCUUCGGCUGGUCAGCGCCUGCCAGAGGAUCUCAAACUCUUGAUUUAGUGUUGUCUGAGUACUUGAUAAAUAGUUA
RNAcentral lists this unclassified non-coding RNA (162 nucleotides) under uncultured Leotiomycetes. RNAcentral describes it as "sequence contains ITS1". The record is from RNAcentral. Lineage: Eukaryota; Fungi; Ascomycota; Leotiomycetes.